AUGGCUCUGUAGUCAGCAAUUGAUGACUAGCCCAGUGGGCUAUUUCACUGUGGCAUAGGAUUUUCCUAUCUUUUUUCCAACACAGCAUAAAUAUCAUAUUGCCGUGUAUCCCUUUAUAUGUGACCUUUAAAUUUGAAAUGUUUGAGGUCAACUAACUAUUAGAGAGGUCGCGAGAUGUCACAGCUGAUUUGUUGGAUGGAAAUUGUAUAGAUGGUUUUAAUUGUUUCAUUACGAAUGAUCAUUUGU
Molecule: unclassified non-coding RNA, 246 nt
Filed under: Hevea brasiliensis (rubber tree)
Lineage: Eukaryota; Viridiplantae; Streptophyta; Magnoliopsida; Malpighiales; Euphorbiaceae
Source: RNAcentral